GCUUGUCUCAAAGAUUAAGCCAUGCAUGUCUAAGUAUAAACAAAUUUAUAGUGAAACUGCGAAUGGCUCAUUAUAUCAGUUAUAGUUUAUUUGGCGAUAAAUACUACUUGGAUAACCGUAGUAAUUCUAGAGCUAAUACAUGCGUCAAAACCCGACUCCUGGGAGGGUUGUAUUUAUUAGAUGGAAACCAAUGCGGGGCAACCCGGUAUAUGGUGAUUCAUAAUAACUUUCGGAUCGAUCUUCGGAUCGAUGCAUCAUUCAAGUUUCUGCCCUAUCAGCUUUGGAUGGUAGGGUAUUGGCCUACCAUGGCUUUAACGGGUAACGGAGAAUUAGGGUUCGAUUCCGGAGAGGGAGCCUGAGAAAUGGCUACCACAUCCAAGGAAGGCAGCAGG
RNAcentral lists this ribosomal RNA (392 nucleotides) under Uroglenopsis americana. RNAcentral describes it as "partial small subunit ribosomal RNA". It matches the Rfam family "Eukaryotic small subunit ribosomal RNA", at positions 30 to 432 of the family's 1831-position model. Lineage: Eukaryota; Chrysophyceae; Chromulinales; Chromulinaceae. The record is from RNAcentral.